GGCUGGGGCCGGGCGGCACUCUGAUUGGCCGGCCGUAGCGGGGCGGGCCCGAGGGGGCGGGUCUGGCGCUCGGGGAGCGCCGUGCGUGAGGGGCGGCGGGGCGGGGCUCGGCGUGGCGGUCGCUUUCGGCCGGACGUCGGCGCCGUGUCGAAGGAUGUGUCUCUCGCUGUCUGUCCCUCCCUCCCUCCCGCCGUCUGUCUGGUGCGGGCCGUCCUGGUCCUCGGGGGCCUCAGCCAGGCCUGCGCAGAGCAGGUUACCCCGGCAGCGUGGUUGGCGGCGGGCAGCUGUGAGGUGCCUGCCUGUUGUCCCGUGGGAGACUUGACACAGAAACGGAGUUUUUUGUUUUUUUUAAUUAUAGCGGGGGGUGGAGGGGGAAUAAAGCCCUCGCCAGAUCUUCCAUGCAAUGUCACAAGUUUAAAAAGGCUCCCUGGGAUAAGAGCCCACAAGGGUUCUGAGGUUUUAACUCGUACCGCUAAGUAUCUUCCUCCGCAGCCCGCCUCCGAGGCAGUUUGUGCAGGAGCACGUGCGAACAGCUUCCGUCUGUGGCCUGGCUUGCCGUGUUAACACCGCAGUGCUUUUCCGCUCCCUCUGGAAGAAGUUCUCGGGACUAAACUGCCGUGAGGUGGCGAAGGAAGUUGCAAAUACUUACGAAAGUAUAUUUUCAUAUGCGUUCUACACUGAAAGCAGGUGUACCACUUCGGGCAAGAUUCGUUGGAAAAAAAACCACUGUAACAAUAAAAUAAAAUUACACUUGAAGGUCUGUGUGGAGAUUAUACAGUUUCUGCAGCUAGUCUGGCAUUGAUAAACAGCCUAGAGCAUUGUUUAUAAAAUCUUAUUCCCUGAAAGCUUCCCUUAAACUCAGUGCUACCUGCCUGUCCAUGAAGCUCCCUAAAGUAUGAUGGAUAAUGUAACUCAGUAUGUCUUUUUUCAAAAGGAUAGGAAAAAAUGAUCAAAUUUAUACUGACUGAUUGUCAGCCUUUGAAUCACCUGAAUUUUAUCCCUGUCUUAAAUUGGAAGGAUGGAUUUGUACAGAGUGAUAGUUUAUGGUUAAAGGAAGGGGCAAAAUCUGGCCUUUGGCAUAAAGUUAAUGUAAUUAUUUCCCAAAAAUGCAGACCGUGCUAAUGCCAGCUGGUUUUGGCAGCAUUAUUGCAUUGUUCUUUCAUCCCACAAAGGUCACUUCUUCUGCUGGCAGAAGUAUUCGGGACGUGUGAAUGGAACUGAAGUUUUGUCACUGCAAACAUACUCGGGCUAUCGGUGAAUGGAACAAGGGCAUUGUCACUGCAGCCAUCUCCUAGGAUGCUCUUAAGCUCUACUCUUGGAUGCCUCCAAAAAGAAACAACAUUGGGGUUGAGAAAAAUCUUGUUGUGAGGACGAUAGUCAGACAUGGUUCCAAUCAACCCAGAACAGAUGUUGCAGCUGUCUGUGUACAUGCAGCCUGAAUUUUUUGCCUUGUUGGAUUUGGUAAGGACUCAGACUGUUUUUGGAUAUUUUAGCUCUUCCAGGGGCAGGCUCACAGAUAUUGGCAGGUGUGAACUUUAUUGCUUGUGGUUUAGGGAGUCACUGAAAUGAAGAGACUUUCUUGUAUCAGCUUGAUUGGUUUUGAAUCAAUGUUGUGGAAUACGUAUCCUAAAUAGCUUUUGCAAGCAUUUACUGAAUAUGAAGGCUGCCAGUUCCUUAGGGCUCACAGUGUUGUCAAUCCAGCAAGCUGCUCUCACAGAAAGAGCUUCCCACCUUUUUUAGAUGCUAGUUUCACAGGCAAAUGCUCCUUGUGCUCACAUUUGACUCAACGCAGAGCAAGUUUGGCAUCAUGUGACAGUUUAAAUUCUGGUUAUUUAACUUAAAUGUAAUUCUACUAUAUUUUGUCAGCUGAGAGUGCAACCUAGCAGACACUUAUGCAUGCUUCUAAGUUAAAACACAGCUAUUAUUAACUAUUAGCUAUUAUUAAGUAUGACUGCUAACUCUGUUAUCCUCUGAAUGGCUUGUGUGGAUUGCACUGAUGCUGAAGUGAGCUGUGUAUGACCUGUGCACAUGGGAGCAGCAUAGCCACAUUUGCACAGUAUUGGACUGUCUUAACUGGUUCAUAUGGGUGCAAGUUCCAAGAUCUGCACUCCAGCCACUUCUGUUGCUGACCUUCGUUUCCUCCAUCAUAGCUUCCUUCUCCUUCAUACCAUAUAUGCCUUCAUUCAAACUGAAAUAUUCUCCAUGUUAUCUUUGGUUUUGUUUUAUCCUGGAUAUCCCAAACUACUAUUAGUUCAGUUAUUUGUAAGUUAACUGUACACAGCUAAAUUGAACACAUGCUUAGUAAAAUAUAUAUUCAAUUUCUUUGAAACCACAAAGUCUUAGUAUACCCAAGUGCUCUGCUUAUUUGUGGCUAUUCAGGAUUAGACCCUAUUUGACAUGUAAGAUUUAAACACUGAACAAAAAUAACAAAAACAUAACUCACUUUCUGUAGUGUACUUGCUAUGGAGAUUCUCAUGAAAAACUGAAAUACAAGUUAAAUACAUACUUAUUUUAUUUCAGGCUAUAGAAUAAGUGUAUUUAGGCAGUUUUUCAAAGUGUAUUGUACACUGCAUGCACAGUAAAUCAGUUUAAUAGCUUGACUGUUUUACAUUUUGUGUUCAAAGAAUUGUAUGAUAGGCAAUGAGAUCAUGUUAUGGUCUGAUUUGUUGUCCAUUUGGACCAUGUCCAUUUAUUCAUAAAACUUUGAGAAACUCAACCUGACAGAUGAAAUGUAUAUGAAUCGUUUUAAUAUGAGCAUUUGCUCUGAGAAAGAAACUUCAUAAAAGUUAUGUUCAAUUUAUAAAUCUCUCCAAAUAGAGAAUUUAAGACAAGAAAUUUUGAACGUGAUUUCAUUGCAGUAUGACACUGAAGAUUGGUGUAAUAUUUGUCAAAAUGAUGUAACAGUUUCCAAGUACAGAUUUUGGAAUCUUAUGAUAGAAAGAAAUCAAGAUAGUAUUUUAUGGCCCAUACAUUUAGCUUUAAUGUCCUUGGAUGGAUGGCUUGUCUGUGUUGAGAAGAAUUUCUACCUAUCUGAAAUAUCUUAUUAAAGAUAGCUCAUGACUAGCAGGUCACCAUCAAAUAAAGAAUCAAGAAUA
Molecule: long non-coding RNA, 3095 nt
Organism: Dromaius novaehollandiae (emu)
Lineage: Eukaryota; Metazoa; Chordata; Aves; Casuariiformes; Dromaiidae
Exons: 2
Source: RefSeq, a predicted model, not a curated record